This 1823-nucleotide long non-coding RNA is filed under the name Salvia miltiorrhiza (redroot sage). RNAcentral's name for it is "long non-coding RNA (SMIL_LNC007214)". Lineage: Eukaryota; Viridiplantae; Streptophyta; Magnoliopsida; Lamiales; Lamiaceae. The record is from RNAcentral.
AAAAUGGUUAUCAUUCAUUAUAAAUUAAGCAAUAAAUUUGAGUAAGUUCCUGAGUAAAUUACAACAAUCCAGCAGUAGCAAACAAAUUCUAAGAACUUGUAAGCAAUUAAUCAACUAAAAGCAAUUCCAAUACUGCAUAAAUGGCAGAUUUUGCAUCCUUAGUCAAAUGUUUGAUCCACCAUGAGUACAUAAACUGCAUCUUCAAUAAACUAAUUUCAAAGUUCUUAAUCGGCUUCUCGGUUUGUCGAUUUUCGAGUGACUUCAUGAGCUCAUUUAUCGACAUUAAUGCUUUGUUGCGAGUUAUGUGUUUGAAAAGGGCCAAAGCCGAGUGGUUGUUGUGCCUGAAACAAAAACAAUGAAAUGAGCCACACCAAAAAUACUUAGUGUUCUACUCUAAAUAUGGUGAAACAUCAACUAAAGUCCUAAAAAAGUAACAUAUUUCAGUGAAAUGCAAGAAGAUAUCAUAAAUCGACACUAAUGUCGUUAUAAAAAAGACAUUAUCAAUAGUAAGCUAGUCAUACUCAUUGAUGGGGAUCCACCAAAAUUUUGAUGACUUGAACUUGCUGAAAAAUCCUGCUAUCAAUAAAUAAAAUAUAUUAGAGCUACAAAUUGAUCAAAAAUAAGAUCAAACAAUCUGCUAUCAAAAUUAAGGAAACCAUUAUAUUUGAGGUAAGAGAUACACCACUCAGCCUCAAUAUUACUAGCACACCAUUAUAUUCCAUUCUUAUAAGUUACAAAACAACCAAUCAAGAAACUACAAAUUAGGAGUAAAACAGAGAAGUGUAUCACAGGACACUACCAAGAAUCUUUAAAACAUAACAAAAUAGGUAGAAUAGCAAAAUGAUAUUGUUGUACAGAGGACAUGGAGCAGAUCAUCAACGCCCAAGACCAACACCCACCACGCGCCGCCGCCGCCACAGACCAUACCUCCGCCUCGCUGGAGUCCGUUCAAGAGGAAUCCUGAUUGAUCACUAUUUCUACACUAGUCUUCUUUUGCCUACCAUCUGUUUGAUCUAUUGCCUCACUGAGUCAAGACCCUCACUUUUGUUUCUUUCAUUCUUUUUUUAUUUUCAUUUUACUCCCCUUACUUAUAAUUCAGAAUUUUGAACAUUAGCAUUAAACAAAGACGAAAGAAAGAACAAAAAAUCAAUCUUUACUGCUAUCCAAACAUUCAAAUUAAUCUCACAAAUAUUAUUAAUUUAAGCAAUGAUUAAUUGAACAUGGUAUAUAUCAGUUUUCACUCAAUCAAGAAUCACAUGAUUAACAUAAAAAUACAUAGAAUCACAUGAUUAACACAAAAAUACAUAGAAAAAGGGGCCAAAAGAAAUAGUUUCUGCACACACUUAAGAACUCACAGAAAACUAAAAAAUAAAAGAAAAUACUCACCGUCGACUUCAAGGUAAAAGAAGCAAAAUCAAGAAGUUCGAUUGCGCCGACGACGGACGUCGUGAUGUUCACCACAAUAAGUUGGUUCUUGUGGCAAAAUAAAAGCACCAAAAAUUGAGUUUGAAAGUUUGGGAAGAAGAAGAAGACAAGAUUGACGGAAGAGUAAGAUUGGUGAUGGAGAACCCUAGCCAAAUCCUGUGAUGCGAACGAAAUCCCCAUUUUUUGGUGGAGAUCGAAAAUUUCCGAAGAAGAAGGGAGAGUCUUUCAUCUACAGAAGGAAAGUAGAAGAAAAAAUUUCACGGCUACAACAAGCCGAGCCGAUAUUGGGCGAAUUUAAUCAAUUAAGAAGGGAUUAUGCUAAUAAGUUCAAAACGCUGUAGUUUUAUGGGUGGGACAGGGAGUGGGACAGGGCAAUGGGGACAGAGGAUCCGAACUGA